Molecule: ribosomal RNA, 1467 nt
Filed under: human metagenome
Description: bacterial LSU rRNA
Rfam family: Bacterial large subunit ribosomal RNA
Source: RNAcentral
CAAUCAAACUGGGAAAUAGCUCGUACUCCCCGAAAUGCAUUUAGGUGCAGCGUUGAUGUGAGUUUAAUAGAGGUAGAGCUACUGAUUGGAUGCGGGGGUUUCAUCGCCUACCAAUUCCUGACAAACUCCGAAUGCUAUUAAAUGCUCAUCAGCAGUGAGGGUAUGGGUGCUAAGGUCCAUAUCCGAGAGGGAAAGAACCCGGACCAUCAGCUAAGGUCCCCAAAUAUAUGCUAAGUUGACCAAACGCGGUCUGACUGCACUGACAGCUAGGAUGUUGGCUUGGAAGCAGCCAUACAUUUAAAGAGUGCGUAACAGCUCACUAGUCGAGCGGUUGGGCAUGGAUAAUAAACGGGCAUAAGCAUAUUACCGAAGCUAUGGGGUUAUACAUUAGUAUAUACCGGUAGGGGAGCAUUCUAUAGGCGUGGAAGCUAAAGGCGUGAGCCAUAGUGGAGCUGAUAGAAAAGAAAAUGUAGGCAUAAGUAACGAUAAGGCAGGCGAGAAACCUGCCCGCCGAAAGAUCAAGGUUUCCUCAGCUAUGCUAAUCAGCUGAGGGUUAGUCGGGGACUAACGCGCACCCGAGCAGGGGAAGUGGAUGUACAACAGGUUAAUAUUCCUGUACCAUUAAUCUGAUAAAAGUGACGGAACGAGAUAACUACCGCGUACUGACGGAAUAGUACGUUAAAGGAGCUGUUAUGGCUUUGAUAGUACACUGAGGCUUCGGCUGAUGUGAUAGAGUGGUGACAACGUUUCCAAGAAAAGCGAAGAUUAAUGCCCGUACCGUAAACCGACACAGGUGAUUGGGAUGAGAAUUCUAAGGCGCUCGAGAGAUUCAUGGCUAAGGAACUAGGCAAAAUAGACCUGUAACUUCGGGAGAAAGGUCGCCUAUCUUGUGAUAGGCCGCAGUGAAAAGGUCCAAGCGACUGUUUAUCAAAAACACAGGACUCUGCAAAAUCGAAAGAUGAGGUAUAGGGUCUGACACCUGCCCGGUGCUGGAAGGUUAAGAGGAGAGCUUAGUGGUAACACGAAGGUUUGAAUUGAAGCCCCAGUAAACGGCGGCCGUAACUAUAACGGUCCUAAGGUAGCGAAAUUCCUUGUCGGGUAAGUUCCGACCUGCACGAAUGGUGUAACGAUUUGGACACUGUCUCGGCCAUGAGCUCGGUGAAAUUGUAGUAUCGGUGAAGAUGCCGAUUACCCGCAGUGGGACGAAAAGACCCUGUGCACCUUUACUAUAUCUUCGUAUUGGUCUUGGAUAAGUGAUGCGUAGGAUAGGUGGGAGACUAUGAAGCGGCUAUUCCGGUAGUUGUGGAGUCAUUGUUGAAAUACCACCCUUUGCUUAUCUGAGGUCUAACUUUGCACAAGGCAAAGGACAAUUCGUGGAGGGUAGUUUGACUGGGGUGGUCGCCUCCAAAAGAGUAACGGAGGCUUCUAAAGGUACCCUCAGACCGAUUGGUAACCGGUCGUAGAGUG